This 323-nucleotide ribosomal RNA is filed under the name uncultured fungus. Its description in RNAcentral is "partial small subunit ribosomal RNA". It matches the Rfam family "Eukaryotic small subunit ribosomal RNA", at positions 30 to 352 of the family's 1831-position model. The record is from RNAcentral. Lineage: Eukaryota; Fungi.
GCUUGUCUCAAAGAUUAAGCCAUGCAUGUCUUAGUGUAAAUAACUCUUAUGAAACUGCGAAUGGCUCAUUAAAUCAGUUAUAAUUUACUGGAUGUAAAAUACUUACAUGGAUAACUGUGGUAAUUCUAGAGCUAAUACAUGCAAAAAAGUCUUGCCGCAAGGCGGACGCAUUUAUUAGACCAAGACCAAGGGUGCCUCGUGUACCUACUGGUGGUGACUCUGAAUAACUUUCUAGCUGAUCGCAUAGCCUUGCGCUGGCGACAUAUCCUUCGAGUAACUGCCUUAUCAACUUUCGAUGGUAGGUUAUUCGCCUACCAUGGUUG